This 305-nucleotide ribosomal RNA is filed under the name uncultured bacterium. RNAcentral's name for it is "bacterial SSU rRNA". It matches the Rfam family "Bacterial small subunit ribosomal RNA", at positions 333 to 636 of the family's 1533-position model. The record is from RNAcentral.
CUUGUCCUACGGGGCGCAGCAGUGAGGAAUAUUGGUCAAUGGGAGAGAUCCUGAACCAGUCAAGCCGCGUGAGGGAAGACGGUCCUAUGGAUUGUAACCCUCUUUUGUCGGGGAGCAAAAGACGCCACGCGUGGCGUUCCGAGAGUACCCGAAGAAAAAGCAUCGGCUAACUCCGUGCCAGCAGCCGCGGUAAUACGGAGGAUGCGAGCGUUAUCCGGAUUUAUUGGGUUUAAAGGGUGCGCAGGCGGAAGAUCAAGUCAGCGGUAAAAUUGAGAGGCUCAACCUCUUCGAGCCGUUGAAACUGG